UGCAGGCAUGUGCCACCACCCCUGGAUCAAUGUAUGCAGUUUUGUAUUAACCUUUGGUUUUCAGCAACCAGUUGAAAAUUUUCUUCUGGGUCAAAAAGUUGCCCCUACAGCACAUUGAGACUUAUUAAUUACUGAUCUAUUGUUGUUAAUUACUGAGUUGGGUUUUAGUAUUUCACAUUAAGAGCAUUGCUAUUGGAUAUUCAGAACAUUUUUCACAUUUUGCCUGACUUUAACACAAAAAAAUACCUAAUGAGAGAGCAAAAGUACCUUGUUUUGGUCUUCCAAUGUAAAUUUUUCUUUUUUUCUUUUCUCCUCACUAAUGUUACCACCCCACAGAAAACAAGAGUGCAAUUUACGGAUCAAAGUUGGUGUUGUGAUUUUAUAUAUACACACACACACACACACACACACAUAUACUGGGAACUGAACCCAGGGGCACUUUACCACUGAGUUAAGUCCCCAACCAUUUUUAUUUUUUAUUUUGAAAUUUUGAGAUAGGGUCUCACGAAGUUCUUUAGGGCCUUUCUAAAUUGCUGAGGCUGGCCUUGAACUUGCAAUCCUUACCUCAAGCUGCUGGGAUUAUAGGCUUGUACCAUCAUGAUCAGCCAGUGUUGUAAUUUUUAAAAUAACUGCCGCAGUCCAGCUGCAGCAAAAUAACCGGGGGGUGACAAACAAUUUGUGUAGAUUGAUACAGCAGGAGUAGGAGCCAUUUAUUGCAGGACAGGAGCAGUAUUUAUACAUUCCACACAACUUAUCUAAUUAGCAUAAACUAGAUACAUCAGUCAACCAAUAAGGAAUCUCCACACUUAAUGGCUCGCUUUUGUUACUUCUCAAACCACUCCCUCUGGCAUUUUACCAGGCACCAUCCAGACUUGUUUACGAACGCUAACAUUCCCCUGGCAAAAUGCCAGGUGUUAUUUUGACUUGUUUACAGACUCUAACAAAUAACUUUAUUUUAUUUAUUAUUUUUAUGUGGUGCUGAGGAUCGAGCCCAGUGCCUCAUACAUGCCAGGCAAGUACUCUACCACUGAGCCACAACCCCAGCCCCCUGUAUUGUAAUUUUUAAACACUAUUAUUUACUAUGCUUCAAUUACUCUAUCUUGUUCUCUUUCCUCUCCUUACUUCU
RNAcentral lists this long non-coding RNA (1126 nucleotides) under Marmota monax (woodchuck). The record is from RNAcentral. Lineage: Eukaryota; Metazoa; Chordata; Mammalia; Rodentia; Sciuridae.